UGACCAGACUCCUACGGGAGGCAGCAGUGGGGAAUAUUGCACAAUGGGGGAAACCCUGAUGCAGCGACGCCGCGUGAGUGAAGAAGUAUUUCGGUAUGUAAAGCUCUAUCAGCAGGGAAGAAAAUGACGGUACCUGACUAAGAAGCCCCGGCUAACUACGUGCCAGCAGCCGCGGUAAUACGUAGGGGGCAAGCGUUAUCCGGAUUUACUGGGUGUAAAGGGAGCGUAGACGGCAUAGCAAGUCUGAAGUGAAAGCCCGUGGCUCAACCGCGGAACUGCUCUGGAAACUGCGGCGCUGGAGUACGGGAGGGGCAGGCGGAAUUCCUGGUGUAGCGGUGAAAUGCGUAGAUAUCAGGAGGAACACCGGCGGCGAAGGCGGCCUGCUGGACCGUGACUGACGUUGAGGCUCGAGAGCGUGGGGAGCAAACAGGAUUAGAUACCCUAGUACAC
Molecule: ribosomal RNA, 450 nt
Filed under: uncultured bacterium
Lineage: Bacteria
Description: partial 16S ribosomal RNA
Rfam family: Bacterial small subunit ribosomal RNA
Source: RNAcentral